GCGCCGUUGGUGUAGCGGUAACACACAAUCUGAUCUUGGCCCAUCUAAAGUAGAGAUAUUUUAAGGUUGAGUCCUGGGUUCGAAUCCCGGACAGCGCA
Molecule: non-coding RNA, 98 nt
Organism: Mycena epipterygia
Lineage: Eukaryota; Fungi; Basidiomycota; Agaricomycetes; Agaricales; Mycenaceae
Source: the annotation of a GenBank genome assembly